GCCCGCUUGGCCCAGUGGUAAGGCGUCGCACUUGUACCUCUCAGUUAUGCGAAGAUCGAGUGUUCAAUUCACUCAGUGGGCA
Molecule: transfer RNA, 82 nt
Organism: Drechmeria coniospora
Lineage: Eukaryota; Fungi; Ascomycota; Sordariomycetes; Hypocreales; Ophiocordycipitaceae
Rfam family: tRNA
About the family: Transfer RNA (tRNA) molecules are approximately 80 nucleotides in length.
Source: Rfam